UCAUAAUCUUACUGGAAUUAGUAGCAAUCAGUUUUUAGUUCAGAGAGUGGAUGUUUAGUGCGAAUCCAUCUAAAACUAUUGUGAACUCGUCCAGCGGAUCUUAACUUGAAAUGAGUAGAGUCGAGCGUGUGCCAGCGUUAAUGGUUUAGAGGGUUUAUUCCAAAUCUAGGUGGUACCACGGUCGCGCGUCCUAUGA
RNAcentral lists this non-coding RNA (196 nucleotides) under Lapidilactobacillus dextrinicus. RNAcentral describes it as "Lactobacillus dextrinicus T-box sequence". It matches the Rfam family "T-box leader". From Rfam's summary of the family: Uncharged tRNA acts as the effector for transcription antitermination of genes in the T-box leader family. T-boxes are found upstream of many aminoacyl-tRNA synthetase genes and some amino acid biosynthetic genes usually in Gram-positive bacteria. The record is from RNAcentral. Lineage: Bacteria; Bacillati; Bacillota; Bacilli; Lactobacillales; Lactobacillaceae.